UUUUACACUAGUGCAAGCAUGUGAGAAAGCACAGCCAAGUGAUUUAAAAGGAGUUCCAGCCUGUCCUUUGACUCCACAUGCUUAUGGAUUUCGAAAUUCACUUAAUCAGCCUUAUCUCUUCUUAUAUAGUUUGUAUCUGAUACAUUAAAUCAUUUUAAUGGAGUUUUGAGUCUCUCUCUCUUGUUCUUAUUCUCUCUAGAACUCUUAAUCUCCUAAACAUUAUACAAAUCACACAGAUUAAUUAUUAAACACACUACAAACACAAAAGUGUUUAUGGUAUCAGAGCCAGGUUCCGCAAAGGGGAGAGUGUGUUUGAUUAUGAUUUUCGAAAUCAGAGUUUCUUGAGGUGUUCUUGAGGUGUUCUUGGUGUUCUUGAUGUGUUCUUGGUGUUUUUUGGUGUGCUUGAGAUCGAAUUGAGUCGGUGGAGAGUUUCUGAUGCAUUCAAACGAGUUAAGCAUGGUGGAGGAGAUAAGAUCAAGAAGUGAAGAGAAGAAAGAGAGAGAAAACGAGUGUGCUUGGUCAAGCUGGAUAAAGACAGCUUUUGAAAGCUGUGGGAUUUGGAGUAAUCAUGAAAAGGAAGAACCUUUAAAGGUGAGAGCUGCUGAGAAAGAUCAGACAGCAAGGUUGGAGGAGAUUCAAGUAAAGGUGGAACCUUUAAAGGAGGUAGCUGCUGAAGAAGGUCAGACAGCAAGGUUGGAGGUUCAUGAAGCCAAGGGCGUGAUCUAUAGUCUAAGAAAAGGGAAGAACGAGUUGUAUCAGCUUGUGGAGAGGCUGAGAGAAGUUGAAUCAGAGUUGAGUAUGGUGAAAACUCAUACAGCAAGUCCGAGUUGGUAUCAAGGAAGGAGGAAGCAAGAUGUGAUCUUUGGCUUUCUUAUGGGAGAGAUUUGUGAGCUAGUUGAACACAUGUGUGAUGUGUGGGAGAUAAACAAGAAGCCAGAUAGAUGGAAGAGAGGUACAAGCUGCAAGAAGGGAAAGUUGAGAAAACUUUCUAAGAUGUGGGUCAUGAUGAGCAGAUUAUGGAGAAAGGAUAUCAAGGAGAGUAUGCAAGUAGGAGAAUGCUUGUACUCAGAUUACAUUGGAGAAUCUGUAGAGAGCAGUGGGGUUAUGAGGAAGCUAGAGACCAAAGGAGCGGAUGAGCCUGUCACAAAGGAGGAAUGGGAUGAGUUUGUCAAGUAUGUGUAUGCUUUGGCUACGACCCGGAGACAAGGUGCUCCUGCCAAAGCAUCCACAUCCAACAAACCCAUCAUUGUUGAUUCUGGAGCAAGUCAUCACAUGAUUAGUGACAGAAGCUUAAUGAGUGAUGUAAAGAAAGCUACUGGGGGUGUGAUGAUAGCUAAUGGUGAUAGGAUUCCAAUAGAAGGAGUUGGAAAGCUCAAGCUAUUUGAUAAAGACUCAGAUGCCUUCUACAUGCCACAGUUUGCUUCAAAUCUACUAUCUGUGAGGAAAGCCACAAUUGAUCUUGGCUGUCAAGUAGUAUUCAGGCCAGAUGAUGUUGAGUUCCAAGAUUUGAAGACUGGAAAGGUCAUUGGGAGAGGAGACAGCAAGAAUAAUCUAUACCAGCUCCAAUUGGCUAAGAUCUCUAAACCCUUUGAUUCUAUGUGUUUGAGCAGUACUUAUGAAAAGAUUGAUAGUAUUACUUGGCAUGCUAGAUUGGGACAUCCUCACGCUCGUGCUAUUGAAUUGAUAAUUCCUAAUAUGUCAUUUAAUCACUUGGAGUGUGAAGCAUGCAUAUUAGGAAAGCAUUGUAGGACUGUUUUUCCAACAUCAGAAACUACUUAUGAGCAUUGCUUUGAUCUAGUUCAUUCAGAUGUGUGGACUGCUCCUUGUUUGUCUAGAGAUAGCCAGAAGUACUUUGUGACAUUCAUUGAUGAGAAGUCUAAGUAUACUUGGCUUACAUUGCUUCCAUCUAAAGAUAGGGUGCUAGAAGCAUUUAUGAACUUCCAAGCAUAUGUAUCUAAUCAAUACAAUGCUACUGUGAAGGUACUGAGAUCAGAUAAUGGAGGUGAAUACAUCAGCAAUGCCUUCAAGAGUCAUCUAGCCAAGCAUGGGAUUGUGCAUCAGACUAGCUGCCCUUAUACACCACAGCAGAAUGGUGUAGCUGAGAGGAAGAACAGGCACUUGAUGGAGGUUGCUAGAUCGAUGAUGUUUCAUGCAAAUGUCCCAAAACGUUUUUGGAGUGAUGCUGUGCAGACUGCUUGCUAUCUCAUCAACCGGAUUCCAACCAAGAUAUUGAAGAAUCUGUCUCCAUUUGAGGUAUUGAACAAGAGCAAACCUGUCAUUGAUCAUCUACGUGUCUUUGGGUGUGUGUGCUAUGUCAUGGUUCCAGGAGAGCAGAGAAACAAGCUGGAGGCAAAGAGUACUAAGGCUAUGUUCAUUGGUUACUCUAUCACUCAGAAGGGGUACAAGUGCUAUGAUCCGGAAGCAAGGAGAGUGAUGGUAUCUAGAGAAGUGAAGUUUGUUGAAACAAAAGGUUAUUAUGAAGAAAAGGAGUGGGAAAAUCUGAAGGAUUUGUCUCAAGCUCCAUCUGAUAAGGCAACAAUACUGAGAGUGUUGUUAGAGAAGCUUGGGAGAGGAUUAUCCCAGGAUCAGGAAACCGGAAGGAGAGAGUCUUCCAAUCAGAGUGGUGGAGCUGGAAGAACAACUCCUCUUGAUCAUGAGAGGGGGAAUGGAACUGAAUCUGGUGAGCAAGAGCAAAACCAAGAGGAUUCAGGUCUUCAUGAUCAAGAUACAUCACAAGAAGUUGAGAACAAUGAGGUUCAGUCUAGUGGAGAAGUGGAUGAGGUUCAGUCUAGUGUAGAAGAACAAGUCAGACCGGCCAGUUCAGAAGAAGAGCAAGUGGAGCCGGCUAGUGUGCAAACUGAAGAUCAGGUUCAAGCUUUGAGGAGGAGCACAAGGAUAAAGAGGGAUCCUUCCAACUGGGUAAACACGAGAGUGUACUACAAUGCCCAGGCUGUGGAGCAUCCUUCUCAAGCCGUGUGUUCCUUUGCUGAGUUUCCAGAGGAGCAUUAUGCCUUUAUGAUUAGUCUGGAUGAGAGUUAUGUACCAAGGACUUAUGAAGAAGCUAUGUUAGACAAGGAGUGGAAAGAAUCAGUGGGAGCUGAAGCAGGUGCUAUGAUCAAAAAUGAUACAUGGUAUGAGAGUGAGCUGCCUAAGGGAAAGAAGGCUGUAUCUAGUAGAUGGAUCUUCACAAUCAAGUAUCUAGCAAAUGGACAGAUUGAUAGGAAGAAGACCAGAUUGGUUGCAAGAGGAUUUACACAGACCUAUGGAGAGGAUUACAUUGAUACCUUUGCACCAGUAGCUAAGCUACAUACAGUUCGGAUUGUGUUGUCCAUUGCAACAAACUUGGAGUGGGAUUUGUGGCAGAUGGAUGUGAAGAAUGCUUUCUUACAAGGUGAGCUAGAAGAUGAGGUAUACAUGCUUCCUCCUCCUGGUCUUGAGCAUCUAGUAAAGCCAGGGAAUGUUUUGAGAUUGAAGAAGGCAAUAUAUGGGCUGAAACAAUCACCUAGAGCUUGGUACAGGAAGCUGAGUACAACACUCAAUGGGAGAGGCUUUAGGAAGUCUGAAUUAGAUCACACUCUCUUCACCUUGACAGGACCUUCAGGGAUCAUUGUGAUUCUAGUGUAUGUGGAUGACUUGAUUAUCACAGGGAGUGAUAAGGCAGGGAUUCAAGCUACUAAGGAGUUUCUUAAAUCUGUGUUUGACAUCAAGGAUUUGGGAGAGAUGAAGUAUUUUCUGGGCAUUGAGAUAUGCAGAUCAAAGGAGGGUUUGUUUAUGUCUCAAAGGAAGUAUACUAUGGAUAUGUUGAAGGAGACUGAUGUGCUUGGAGGAAAGAUAGCCAAGACACCUCUCGAGGAGGGAUAUAAGGUUCUGCGUGAGGGGGAGGUUGAAGAGAAGCAGCUGUUUGAGGAUCCUAAGCUAUACAGGAAGAUGGUUGGCAAGCUGAUCUACUUGACCAUCACUAGGCCAGAUAUAUGCUUUGCGGUGAAUCAAGUGAGUCAACAUAUGCAGGCGCCAAAGGUCCAUCAUUGGAAGAUGGUUGAUAGGAUACUGAGGUAUUUGAGUGGCACGUCUGGUCAAGGAAUUUGGAUGGGUUGUAAUGGCAGUACAGAAGUGGUUGGAUAUUGUGAUGCUGAUUGGGCAGGAGAUAGAGUGGACAGGAGAUCAACUACUGGGUAUUGUACAUUCAUUGGAGGGAACUUGGUUACUUGGAAGAGUAAGAAGCAGAAGGUUAUCUCUUGUUCAAGUGCUGAAGCUGAGUAUAGAGCCAUGUUGAAGCUGACAAACGAGUUGGUGUGGAUCAAGGGGAUCUUGAAGCAUCUAGAGAUUGAGCAGAGUACUCCUAUGACUAUGCAUUGUGACAAUCAAGCAGCUAUCCACAUUGCCUCCAACUCAGUGUUUCACGAGAGAACAAAGCACAUAGAGGUGGAUUGUCAUAAGGUGAGGCAGAUGAUUAUCUUAGGAGUGAUUCUGCCAUGUUAUACAAGGAGUGAAGAUCAGCUUGCAGAUGUAUUCACUAAGGCAGCAAGAUUGAAGACAAUGGAGUCCAUACUAUCCAGGCUUGGACUCAUUGAUCUUACUCCUAGGAGCUGAGCCCCUUGACCAUGGAGUCUCCACUCUUUUUCCCUCAUCAAAGUUUUAUCCCAAUGGGUUUUCUUUGGUGAGGUUUUUAAUGAGGGAGGUCUUCAUGGUUUGGUCUUGCUCACGCCUCUCCAUAAGCGUAGCCUCAUCAUUGGUAUUUGGCCUCAACAUCUCUAGUUCAGACCACAAGGCCCUGAACUUUCCCAAGUGUUUAGUGUGUUGAGAUGAGAGGAUAGAGAGAAGAUACAUUGAUAGAGGAAGAGUAUUUUGUUGAGAUGAAGACCAAAGAGGCUGAGACAGUAACUUUAGAGUUUUACUGUGGUAACUUUCUUUUAACCACAGUAACUACUUGGGGAAGUUAUCUGAUGGGAUGAGGAGGUAACUUAAUGAGGAGAAGAGAGGAAAUUCGACCUAAGAGGAUAAGGAAGGAUAAGGGAGCACUUUGACAGCCUGUAUGAUGCUGGAAAGGAGAGGAUGCUUUUUACUAGUGCAAGCAUGUGAGAAAGCACAGCCAAGUGAUUCAAAAGGAGUUCCAGCCUGUCCAUUGACUCCACAUGCUUAUACAUUUCGAAAACCCUUGUUGCUCUCUCUAUUAAUACUUGUAAACCUCAUCAGUUAUUAAUUAAUGGAGUUUUGAGUCUCUCUCUCUUGUUCUUAUUCUCUCUAGAACUCUUAAUCUCCUAAACAUUAUACAAAUCACACAGAUUAAUUAUUAAACACACUACAAACACAAAAGUGUUUAUGGUAUCAGAGCCAGGUUCCGCAAAGGGGAGAGUGUGUUUGAUUAUGAUUUUCGAAAUCUGAGUUUCUUGAGGUGUUCUUGAGGUGUUCUUGGUGUUCUUGAUGUGUUCUUGGUGUUUUUUGGUGUGCUUGAGAUCGAAUUGAGUCUGUGGAGAGUUUCUGAUGGAUUCAAACGAGUUAAGCAUGGUGGAGGAGAUAAGAUCAAGAAGUGAAGAGAAGAAAGAGAGAGAAAACGAGUGUGCUUG
Molecule: long non-coding RNA, 5564 nt
Filed under: Brassica napus (rape)
Lineage: Eukaryota; Viridiplantae; Streptophyta; Magnoliopsida; Brassicales; Brassicaceae
Description: long non-coding RNA (BNAP_LNC021192)
Source: RNAcentral